Molecule: long non-coding RNA, 738 nt
Filed under: Gossypium barbadense (sea-island cotton)
Lineage: Eukaryota; Viridiplantae; Streptophyta; Magnoliopsida; Malvales; Malvaceae
Description: long non-coding RNA (GBAR_LNC016066)
Source: RNAcentral
GGGGUGGCAGCUUUUGUCUUUAGAUUUGGUUACCAUAUAAAUUCUUCCCCUUUUUAGGGGGAUUUUUAUUUUUAUUUUUUUACAUUUACUUUUUUUUUUCUUCACCCCGUGCUUGUCUCGGUUAAAAGUGGACUAGAAGGGGUAAUAAGGGAAUUUCGAUAUCUCCUUUUCUUCUUUUCGGUCUGUCCAACGUGUGUUUUUUUAAAACCAAAAACAAUGUGGCUGUGAUUUAUCCGAGUAACUGACAUCCGGCAUAUCUGCCACGUCUCAACUACAUGCACUUCUUCCACGUAAGCAGCCGAUCACUACGGUCCAAGAACCCCCUGCGUCAUCAUCAUCAACAAUUUAAAAGAAAAUUAAUAAACAAAACAAAAAACAGGUGAAGGCCCGUUGUGAACGUGACCCAGUCCUGGACCCCACUAUCUUAUCGCACGUGCGAAGUGUGGGAUCUUUCUCCUUUAUUACUGGUAAUAAUACAAAUUUUAAAAAAAAAUUAAAUGUUUAAAAAGAAAAAGGGUUGCCGUUGUGGGCCCAGUUACGGUUUCUCAUUUUGCUAGCUUUGUUUUUGUCCCCUUUCUUUCUUCAGCUGUUGUCUCUGUACGGACAAAUAAGCAUGGGAUGCCAGUGAAUGCAUAAAUCUAUAGUGGGACCCUCGUUAUUACAGUAUUUUUUCUUUUAAUAUUUUCUUGCGUUGUUUCAAAGAAGUAAAAGAAAAUGAUUUAUUUAACUAAUAAAACG